GACGAACGCUGGCGGCGUGCUUAACACAUGCAAGUCGAGCGGUAAGGCCCUUUCGGGGGUACACGAGCGGCGAACGGGUGAGUAACACGUGGGUGACCUGCCCUCAGCUCUGGGAUAAGCCUGGGAAACCGGGUCUAAUACUGGAUAUGACUCCAUGACGCAUGUUGUGGGGUGGAAAGCCUUGUGCGGCUGAGGAUGGGCCCGCGGCCUAUCAGCUUGUUGGGGGGUGAUGGCCUACCAAGGCGACGACGGGUAGCCGGCCUGAGAGGGCGACCGGCCACACUGGGACUGAGACACGGCCCAGACUCCUACGGGAGGCAGCAGUGGGGAAUCUUGCGCAAUGGGCGAAAGCCUGACGCAGCGACGCCGCGUGAGGGAUGACGGCCUGU
RNAcentral lists this ribosomal RNA (389 nucleotides) under uncultured bacterium. RNAcentral's name for it is "bacterial SSU rRNA". It matches the Rfam family "Bacterial small subunit ribosomal RNA", at positions 28 to 419 of the family's 1533-position model. The record is from RNAcentral.